AUCCGGGUUGCGGACAGUGUCUGGUGGGUAGUUUGACUGGGGCGGUCUCCUCCCAAAGAGUAACGGAGGAGCACGAAGGUUAGCUAAUCCUGGUCGGACAUCAGGAGGUUAGUGCAAUGGCAUAAGCUAGCUUGACUGCGAGAGUGACGGCUCGAGCAGGUGCGAAAGCAGGUCAUAGUGAUCCGGUGGUUCUGAAUGGAAGGGCCAUCGCUCAACGGAUAAAAGGUACUCCGGGGAUAACAGGCUGAUACCGCCCAAGAGUUCAUAUCGACGGCGGUGUUUGGCACCUCGAUGUCGGCUCAUCACAUCCUGGGGCUGAAGUAGGUCCCAAGGGUAUGGCUGUUCGCCAUUUAAAGUGGUACGCGAGCUGGGUUUAGAACGUCGUGAGACAGUUCGGUCCCUAUCUGCCGUGGGCGCUGGAGAAUUGAGGGGGGCUGCUCCUAGUACGAGAGGACCGGAGUGGACGCAUCACUGGUGUUCGGGUUGUCAUGCCAAUGGCACUGCCCGGUAGCUAAAUGCGGAAAAGAUAAGUGCUGAAAGCAUCUAAGCACGAAACUUGCCCCGAGAUGAGUUCUCCCUGACCCUUUAAGGGUCCUGAAGGAACGUUGAAGACUACGACGUUGAUAGGUCGGGUGUGUAAGCGCAGCGAUGCGUUGAGCUAACCGAUACUAAUGAACCGUGAGGCUUAACCUU
RNAcentral lists this ribosomal RNA (693 nucleotides) under Enterobacter asburiae. Its description in RNAcentral is "partial 23S ribosomal RNA". It matches the Rfam family "Bacterial large subunit ribosomal RNA", at positions 2238 to 2925 of the family's 2925-position model. Lineage: Bacteria; Pseudomonadati; Pseudomonadota; Gammaproteobacteria; Enterobacterales; Enterobacteriaceae. RNAcentral also lists the same sequence under 6 other names. The record is from RNAcentral.